RNAcentral lists this long non-coding RNA (514 nucleotides) under Mytilus galloprovincialis (Mediterranean mussel). The record is from RNAcentral. Lineage: Eukaryota; Metazoa; Mollusca; Bivalvia; Mytilida; Mytilidae.
GUUCAAAUGUAGUGGAUGUAAGCAAUUAUAUAUAGGCAACCAUAUAAUCUUCAACAAUGAGAAAAAAACAUACGGUAUUGUCGGCUACAAUAGUCCAUGAAUUGAAAAAUAUGAAACAGUUCAAUUGAGAAAAAUAACGGCCUAUUUUAAAACAACAUGAAUUACGAAAAACACAUAUAAAAGACAUCAACAAACGAAAACCACUGAACUACAUGCUCCUGAGUUGGAGCAGGCACAUGCAAUAUAUUGUGGCGUUUAACAUGCUUGUAAACAGCCGGGACAGUUUUGUUACAGCACAGCAUAAGAACAAACUAUACAAAUCAGUGGAAAAGGGCUUAACGCAUGAGAUCGAUACAAAACAGAAGAAAAAAAAGGUCUAACAAAAACACAUACCGAAUGUGGCAGGGUAUUUUUACCUCGUUUUCAAACAAUCAAAGUACUGAAGUACUGAACAUCGAAUGACUGCAAGUUCUUUUGGAUUGUCACAAGCACUUGUCUCAGAAAAAAAAUCACA